UACGUAGGGGGCUAGCGUUAUCCGGAAUUACUGGGCGUAAAGGGUGCGUAGGUGGUUUCUUAAGUCAGAGGUGAAAGGCUACGGCUCAACCGUAGUAAGCCUUUGAAACUGGGAAACUUGAGUGCAGGAGAGGAGAGUGGAAUUCCUAGUGUAGCGGUGAAAUGCGUAGAGAUAUGGAGGAACACCAGUGGCGAAGGCGGCUUCCUGGUCUGUAACUGACACUGAGGCGCGAAAGCGUGGGGAGCAAACAGGAUUAGAUACCCGUGUAGUCCCUGAG
RNAcentral lists this ribosomal RNA (277 nucleotides) under uncultured prokaryote. RNAcentral describes it as "partial 16S ribosomal RNA". It matches the Rfam family "Bacterial small subunit ribosomal RNA", at positions 524 to 801 of the family's 1533-position model. The record is from RNAcentral.